UGACGUUGCUCUUAUAUUCAGUAGUUCUUCCCGACUGUAUGUAAUGAAACCUAAGAUUACCUGGGGUACCAAUGUAAGAAAUAACACGUAAAAAAAAAAAAGCUGCAUAGUUUCCUAGGAACGCGAAGCGAGGCGGCCAUCUCUGUCUGCGCCGGAAGUAGGGUUAGGGGAAACCCACCAAUCUCUAGUUUGUCACCUUAUAUGGUGCUUGUGUCUGUUCUGUGUAUAUUUUGUGUAUUUCGUGCUUUAUCACUUAAUCUGACUGACGAUGAUAGUAAGGGCUUACACUGAGUAUAGAAAACAUUAAGAACACCUGCUCGUUCCGUGACAUACACUGACCAGGGGAAUUGAGAGGUGAAAGCUAUAAUCCCUUAUUGAUGUCACUUAUUAAAAUCUACUUCAAUCAGUGUAGAUGAAGGGUAGGAAACGGGUUAAAGGAAGAUUUUUAAGCCUUGAGACAAUUGAGACGUAUUGUGUAUAUGUGCCAUUCAGAGGGUGAAUGAGGCAAGAACAAAUAUUUACGUGCCUUUUAAUGGGGUAUGGUAGUAGUUGCCAGGUGCACCGGUGCAAUGCUGCUGGGUUUUCACAAUCAAUAGUUUCCCAUGUGUAUCAAGAAUGGUCAAACAGCCAAUUUACCACAACUGUGGGAUGUUUUGGAAUCAGUAUGGGCCACCAUCCCUGUGAAACACUUUCAACACCUUGUAGAGGUGCCCCGACGAACUGAAGCUGUUGGUUAAAUUAUUUACAAUUUGUGUCAUUAUUUCGACAGGCUAUACAGCCUACACUUUCUCGUUUUGAACUUCUAAUUUGACAGCUCUAAUGCAGUUACACAUCCGACAUCGCAAAAACACCAGGGGUGCGUUCAGUUCACUUGAAUGCUUGCUACGUUGUGGAACAGCUUGUACUGAAUGACAUGUUUCCCCAAAACGUUCUUGAACAGACUUUGAGGUACGUUUGGUCUGUUUGGUGGGUGUGCCGGAGUGUGAAUCCAACCCCUCCCUGUUUUUUAACUGGUCGUUCAGUAUAGCAGUUUACCUUCAAUUUAACGUUCUAUUAAGUUUUAUGUACUGCACGCAGCCCAGCUAUGCGGGUGUAGGCCAUCCCGGCCUUAGUGAUCAUCCCGGCCUUGGAAAUCAGCUAAUUUCCUGCAAUUCAUUUUACUAUCAUAUGCUAUCUGGGGGCCCCCCGACCUCCUGAUGUGGACCCCAAAAAACCCCAAAUUAAAAAUGUCACGUUUUUGGGGGGCUUGGGGGCCCGGAGCACGUGCCCUGCAUGCCCGUUUCGGUAAUCCGGCCCUGUACCCUCUCCCAUAACAGGAAAAAGCUGAAGGAUGGGCUGGAGAAAUGUAACCACUCUCAAAUUUAAAGACAUAGCUAUGGAUGCUAGAGGGGUAUCCUACAAAGCACGCUAUAUCUACUCAGAGUUAUCGAAAGCUAACCCGCUUCAAUUAGCUUUACAUCCCAGAUAAGGCUUCAUCCAUACUACAUUGGUGGAUAUUGCUCGUUCUCCUGCCGCUAACUCUAGCAGGCUUGUAACUGCACACCCAACUUUUCAUUGAGACAAUGCUGAAACAUCAAUCCGUGGGUGAGUCCGUGCCAUAUUUUCAAUUGUGCCGAAAUCAAAAUGAAAGAAAAGUUAUCUUGCAAAUUCAGCAGCGUGAAAUAGGCUUUUAGAAGUGCCGUUAUUGUAUUAAUUAUCAUUAAUAUGCUUAUCAAUGCACAAACUCCUUUUUCCCCCCACUCUAUUUAUUAAGUCAUACAAAAAUGUUACAUUGCGUGAAGUUUCAUUCUGUCAUUACAUUGCAUUCUGUCAUUACUAAAUGUGUAAUUUUACAUUUUAACCAAAACAUUUUACACACAAAUAAAAGUGGUUAAUAAAAUAUUUAAAAUCAGUCAACUUCCUCAAAUGAAGGGGAUGAUGAUGCAAUCUUUGCAAGGGGGAGGGAUCUCGCCCUCAACUCGCAGCUCAGUCAGUUCAUGCAGGGUAAAUGGAGUUAGCCGUGAGUUCUGACUGAUUCGUUGCCAUAGAAAUGUACCUGGCAAAAGGUGAGCCACAUUCGUAUGACCAGUUAUACCUAGUUGAACUCAGAGUUGACCUUAGUUACCUCCUAACUCCUCAAACCUGCUUCGUAGGAUACCCCUUAGAACUGACCAUCCAUUGUUUUACUUUGUUUACAAACAUUGGAGUAAAACAAGCUUAUAUUUUGGGGUGCUCUGGUGGGGUACGACAGUUGAACUAAGCUUAUGAGGCAUUUAUAAGUUAUAUUCUUCAACAAUCAAUGGCUACAUAUCAUUAAUUUAUAUGUCCAAAUAUGGAUGUAGCUAUUGCAGAUUGUCCCUUUUCAGGGACCUGACUUAACCAGUCAGCAAGCUACUGUAGCUGUUCCAGUAGACUUAUUAUGCGAACACUAGUUAGCAUUGGCUCGCGAAAAUACCUCUAACUUCCUUCAUACUGGACACAGAGACAUAAAAAUAGUAUCAAUGAGUUUGCGUAAGUAGAAAAGGGGCCAACAUCUGGCACUAUCCCUUUAAAUCUCCCGAAUUGGCUAGAAAGUUACAUCCAUGUACAUAUGGUAUAGUAUUGUAGCGACCCGCACAGACAGCUGUGUCUUAUGUGCUAGGCUAGGAGGUGGUUGUGUUGUACUGACCAGUACCCAGUGUUCGCGGGGUCCGACAUGUCAAUCAACCUGCUAUCUGCCAAUCACGGGAAUGCCUGGAAUGUUCUGAUGCCGGGCAUCCUGGUGGUUGGCGGAGUGGCGUGGAGGGGGGUUGGGCAGGGGGGUGGAGCAUUGGAAGUUAAGACCAGGUUCCGCUUUUGUUCUCUGUCUUACGUCUGGGCUUCACAAGAGAAGGUCACGAUUGGCUUGUGGGUUAUCUGUCAUCUUUUUGGCGUGUGCUACGGCCCAAACAGUAGCCUGUGUAAAGUUGGUUUAAUAAACCGUCAAUUCGCAAACUCAA
Long non-coding RNA from Oncorhynchus nerka (sockeye salmon), 2957 nucleotides. RefSeq lists it as uncharacterized. Lineage: Eukaryota; Metazoa; Chordata; Actinopteri; Salmoniformes; Salmonidae. The transcript has 2 exons. The record is from RefSeq and is a predicted model, not a curated record.